AGCAGCCGCGGUAAUUCCAGCUCCAAUAGCGUAUAUUAAAGUUGUUGCAGUUAAAAAGCUCGUAGUUGAAUUUCGGGAUCAGUACGCUGGUCGUGCCUUUGGUAUGUACUGGUGUCACUGAUUCCUCCCUUCUGAAGAACCGUUAUGCCAUUUAUUUGGUGUGGCGGGGAAUCAGGACUGUUACUUUGAAAAAUUAGAGUGUUUAAAGCAGGCUCGCGCUUGAAUACAUUAGCAUGGAAUAAUGAAAUAGGACGUUUGAUCUUAUUUUGUUGGUUUCUAGGAUCGACGUAAUGAUUAAUAGGAAUAGUUGGGGGCAUUAGUAUUCAAUUGUCAGAGGUGAAAUUCUUGGAUUUAUUGAAGACUAACUACUGCGAAAGCAUUUGCCAAGGAUGUUUUCAUUAAUCAAGAACGAAAGUUAGGGGAUCGAAGACGAUCAGAUACCGUCGUAGUCUUAACCAUAAACU
RNAcentral lists this ribosomal RNA (464 nucleotides) under uncultured Glomus. RNAcentral's name for it is "SSU rRNA". It matches the Rfam family "Eukaryotic small subunit ribosomal RNA", at positions 569 to 1038 of the family's 1831-position model. The record is from RNAcentral. Lineage: Eukaryota; Fungi; Glomeromycota; Glomeromycetes; Glomerales; Glomeraceae.